This 492-nucleotide ribosomal RNA is filed under the name uncultured bacterium. RNAcentral describes it as "partial 16S ribosomal RNA". It matches the Rfam family "Bacterial small subunit ribosomal RNA", at positions 29 to 507 of the family's 1533-position model. The record is from RNAcentral.
AGUGAACGCUGGCGGUAGGCCUAACACAUGCAAGUCGAACGGCAGCACAGUAAGAGCUUGCUCUUACGGGUGGCGAGUGGCGGACGGGUGAGGAAUACAUCGGAAUCUACUUUUUCGUGGGGGAUAACGUAGGGAAACUUACGCUAAUACCGCAUACGACCUACGGGUGAAAGUAGGGGAUCUUCGGACCUUGCGCGAUUGAAUGAGCCGAUGUCGGAUUAGCUAGUUGGCGGGGUAAAGGCCCACCAAGGCGACGAUCCGUAGCUGGUCUGAGAGGAUGAUCAGCGACACUGGAACUGAGACACGGUCCAGACUCCUACGGGAGGCAGCAGUGGGGAAUAUUGGACAAUGGGCGCAAGCCUGAUCCAGCCAUACCGCGUGGGUGAAGAAGGCCUUCGGGUUGUAAAGCCCUUUUGUUGGGAAAGAAAAGCAGCAGGUUAAUACCCCGCUGUUCUGACGGUACCCAAAGAAUAAGCACCGGCUAACUUCGUG